RNAcentral lists this long non-coding RNA (305 nucleotides) under Elaeis guineensis (African oil palm). RNAcentral describes it as "long non-coding RNA (EGUI_LNC076186)". The record is from RNAcentral. Lineage: Eukaryota; Viridiplantae; Streptophyta; Magnoliopsida; Arecales; Arecaceae.
UUGCCGUCGCUUUCAAUCCUCCACCUUUUGCCGACGGCCGACUGUGCCGACCUCUCCUCUCCUCUUCUCUCAUCAUCGAUCGAUCUGGUCUCCGAUCCCUCUCCGCCUCUCUUUUCCGCUUCUGGAACUCUCUCUCUUGCCGUCGCCGACGCACUCUUGUUUCUUCGAAGUUUAUCUCUUCUUCCCUUCUAUUCCUUUCUCCUCCCAUGUCUAGUCCCACUCCUUGACCAGAACCCUAACCCUAAUUAACAUUUUUAUUGGCCAUUGCCUUCUCACCACUUUGUAUAUUACAUAGUAUUUUCGUU